RNAcentral lists this ribosomal RNA (136 nucleotides) under uncultured bacterium. Its description in RNAcentral is "partial 16S rRNA". It matches the Rfam family "Bacterial small subunit ribosomal RNA", at positions 355 to 505 of the family's 1533-position model. The record is from RNAcentral.
UAGGGAAUAUUGGGCAAUGGGCGCAAGCCUGACCCAGCAACGCCGCGUGAGGGAAGAAGGUUUUCGGAUUGUAAACCUCUGUCCUAUGUGACGAAGGAAGUGACGGUAGCAUAGGAGGAAGCCCCGGCUAACUACG